CAUGGCUCAGAACGAACGCUGGCGGCAGGCUUAACACAUGCAAGUCGAGCGCCCCGCAAGGGGAGCGGCAGACGGGUGAGUAACGCGUGGGAAUCUACCAUUUGCUACGGAACAACUCCGGGAAACUGGAGCUAAUACCGUAUGUGCCCGAAAGGGGAAAGAUUUAUCGGCAAAUGAUGAGCCCGCGUUGGAUUAGCUAGUUGGUGGGGUAAAGGCCUACCAAGGCGACGAUCCAUAGCUGGUCUGAGAGGAUGAUCAGCCACACUGGGACUGAGACACGGCCCAGACUCCUACGG
Molecule: ribosomal RNA, 296 nt
Filed under: uncultured bacterium
Lineage: Bacteria
Description: partial 16S ribosomal RNA
Rfam family: Bacterial small subunit ribosomal RNA
Source: RNAcentral